GGCCGCGGGAAUUCCAUUCAGGCCUAACACAUGCAAGUCGUACGCAAUUGAUCCCCCUAGUGCUUGCACACACCGGAUCGUUGAGUGGCGCACGGGUGAGUAACACGUGGGUAACCUGCCCACCAGAGGGGGAUAACAGUCGGAAACGAUUGCUAAUACCGCAUAGGUUGAACGACCGCAUGGUCGCUCAAGGAAAGACGGCUUUGGCUGUCGCUGGUGGAUGGACCCGCGGCGUAUUAGUUAGUUGGUGAGGUAACGGCUCACCAAGACAAUGAUACGUAGCCGACCUGAGAGGGUGAUCGGCCACAUUGGGACUGAGACACGGCCCAAACUCCUACGGGAGGCAGCAGUAGGGAAUCUUCCGCAAUGGACGAAAGUCUGACGGAGCAACGCCGCGUGAGUGAAGAAGGUUUUCGGAUCGUAAAACUCUGUUGUUAGAGAAGAACAUGUCUGAGAGUAACUGUUCAGGCAAUGACGGUAUCUAACCAGAAAGCCACGGCUAACUACGUGCCAGCAGCCGCGGUAAUACGUAGGUGGCAAGCGUUGUCCGGAUUUAUUGGGCGUAAAGCGAGCGCAGGCGGUUUCUUAAGUCUGAUGUGAAAGCCCACGGCUUAACCGUGGAGGGUCAUUGGAAACUGGGAAACUUGAGUGCAGAAUAGGAGAGUGGAAUUCCAUGUGUAG
RNAcentral lists this ribosomal RNA (681 nucleotides) under uncultured bacterium. Its description in RNAcentral is "bacterial SSU rRNA". It matches the Rfam family "Bacterial small subunit ribosomal RNA", at positions 20 to 678 of the family's 1533-position model. The record is from RNAcentral.